This 418-nucleotide unclassified non-coding RNA is filed under the name Hevea brasiliensis (rubber tree). The record is from RNAcentral. Lineage: Eukaryota; Viridiplantae; Streptophyta; Magnoliopsida; Malpighiales; Euphorbiaceae.
GUCGAGUCAUGGUGAUGUACUAUAAGGAGCCGACAAUUCGCCUAUGUUCUUCACCAUUAGAAAGCAAUUCACCAUAGGUUUUGGACAGCGAAGGGUUGACUGCCAUGGGUGUAGCACAUGGCUUGCAAUCAGACAUCUUGGUGUGAGCCAAAAGAACAGUAAUGUAUUUUGAUUAAGUGAGCAACAAACCAUUCGGCAAGUGUGGAGCUUCAACUCCAAGAAAAAAAUGAAGAGAACCAAGAUCACGUACUGGAAAUACUGAUUUGAGCUUUGAUAAAAAUAAAUCAAGCUUGGUCAAAUCUGAACAGGUUGGCAAGAUGUCAUCAAUGUAUAUAAGAAUAAAAAAUUGAACAUCACCAGACCUGUAAAUAAAAAGAGAGGAGUCUGCUUUUGAAGCUUGAAAACCAAGUCCUUGGAG